GUCAACAGCAGCAUGAAAAAACUUCUCUUUGGAGACUUUCCAUUGAGUUCAGGCAGGUGUUUAACACGUUCUCUGGCAGGACAGAUAUCUUUCCUACCCUCGCCAGCUCCUAUAGAAGUAAGGGAAAGAAAACUGCAAGCUUGCAAACCAAUGCUGCAAACCCUACAAGUGCUAGAGCUCUGUUGGAAUUUCCCCACCUUGUAAGAGCUUGGUCCAGGUGUCCCAGAGGCACCAACCCCGGAUCAAUAAACAAAAUGGUAGCUGAGGAUGCUGUUCUUACACUGUUUAGAGGUGAAUUAGCUGUUAACCAUUUCUUUUGCUCAUUUAGAGCAUGAUUUUCCUAGUGAGUCAUUUCUAAGGGAGACUCUUGGGUUCUGAAGAAAUGAAACAAAUUGAAAGGGUCUGAUAAACAUAUCUGCUCUGCAACAAAGAACACACAUCAUUUCAAGGUGACCUGUAUCUGGCUGCCUAGCUGUGUUUUUCAAUCAUAAAAGAUAUGCAUAAAAACUACCUGUAAAACACCUAAGGUAGAUGACUGAAAUAGAUCAGAUAAAUUGAUUUUAGCAUGGCUUUUUUUCCCCCCUCAUUUGACUAGAAGAGGAAUACAGAUUUCCUCUGAUGGUGAUCUCCAUCUUAUAGACAUCUGAGUCAAAGGGUCUUCUGGAAAACCCACUUAUAGCCAAAAAAUCAAACAACAGCCUAUUUGUCUGGGGAGUAACUUGCUGCAUUGCAUAACAUAGUAUAAGCUGAGGAUGCAUGAAAAAAGUUAUUUGGGCUUUUACAGUAAACACCUCAGUAUUUAAUUCAAGAAUUAGCUAUCCUACUGGAAAGCAAAUUAUUCCAACAGCUUCCAUACACCUAAAAUUAAUCCUUUAAAAACUAAAUGGAUUUAAGAUAAUUUGCCUUAAAAAUAUCAACUGCAAUUUUUUAGGGUUUCAAUAAAUCUAGACAGUAACAGAAAGCCUCCUACUUCUGGUGGCAAAUGAGCUCUCUGUGUCUGGGGUGUGACCUAAGCAGGCUGUUGACUAAUCUAAAUGUAAAUGGAAGGAAAUGUGGAAGAAAAUCAGCAACCCUUGACUCUCCAGGUGAGGUUCUUGCCUCUGGGGAAUCUCCACCUUCUGCUACUCACAUGAAAUCUAAGGGAGAAACAAGAAACUUGAGGAUUGCUGGAGGAUGGACCAGGCCUAGGAAGAGAGACUCUAGUAUAUUUAUUUUCAUGUUACACACAGAUACAUAUAAUCAGCUCUGCAGCUGAAGUGUACAUUUAGUUUUACUGGUAAGCUGUGGUUGAAACACUUCGAAACACAGUAGUGUUCAAAAACUCUUCGGGUAAACUUAGCAGAAUUGUCCACCUGCUGUCAUGGUGUCUUUUCCAACUGAAUCUGGCAUUAGAUCAGAGUAUCACUCACUGGUAAUGAACACAAUUCUUCUCUCCUUUGAGUGUUUCCUUGCAGUACAUUUCAGACUAUUCAUGUUUUGUUCACAGUACUGCCCCUGCUCUCCACACUUUCUGCUCACACACUUGCAUGUUUCCCAGAGGGAAAGAGAAGCAGAGAAAUAAAUCAAUAGACAGUUCUGUCUAGGAAGACACGCUUGAUUUCAAAUAAAUACAGUUCCAUCACACUGGACCGCUUUGGAGGAAAGUGAGUUGUUCUCUGUUUUCUUGCAACAUGAAUUUUUCUCAGCCAGUUGCCAACAUUUUUCAGCACUUGGCUAUGAAAGCUGGUUAAUGUAUAAAUAAAGGAAUAGCAUCGACUUUCAUGACAUCUCUAUCCAUCUUCCUGUUUUUUCGUGUUUGGAUUCAGCUUCCAAAAUGCAGCCAAGUAAAUAUCAGAGCAGAGUGAUAAAUAACUCAAGCACCAACCUUUUAGGAAGAAAAGCCUCUAGUGAACAUUGACUACUUUGUAGAGACAAAGUGCAUCCCUCAGGAAUGAGGGGUACUGAGCUGUGCAGUCACAGGGAACUUAACUUGGAGUCUGCAGUCAGUCCACACUUUCUCCACUGCAUUUAUUUUGUUUUUAGCAGAAUUUAGAGGAAUUUUGACAUGUCUCUCCCAAUAACACUUUCACAGAAGGUUUGAUUUGGUGCAAACCUAAAUGUUUUCAGCUCUGGUUUUGAUAUUUAGCCAAAAAAGGCCCAGCAAUUUCUGGUUAUGAGUGUCACUUCUUUUGACUGACACCAAAUGAAAUGUGAUAAAAACUCCUUUUAGGACAAAAGAAUAAAUUACUUCAGACCCAGGUGAGUUCCUGAUGAUUGUCUUCUCACUAUUUCUCUUCUAAAAUUUCCCCAUCCAUGCACAUUCCUCCCACUCCCUCCUUCCCCUUCCUCACAAAACCCUAUGUCCUCCUUGGGAACAAAAAUGUGGCUGUUUUGUCUAAGACCACACAAAAUCUUCACCCUACAACUUCAGAGCCCAACCUUGUCUGCAGAUCUGUGUGCUCAUCUGCAAGUCAUGAGGUGCAUUUAUCCACCCUGAGCUUUGCAGCCAAAGGUUGGGAUUCUCCCAUAAAGAGAGGAGCGAGCGGCAUCACUCAUGGGUGGCUCUCUGUGCACCAACACAAAAUGCCAUCUGGUCCUAAAUGCAUAAAAUGCAUCCAAAGAGCCACAAAAUCCCAUAGAGGAACGUCUCCAUCAUAUGGUGGAUGUGUGAGUAUGUCAAACUACACCAUCUCCUCAUGGGUGGGUGUCUAGGACAUCGGAGAAGACCUGCUUUCAGUGGAACACAGCUGGGAUAAGGAGGAUAACCUCCUGAGCUCAGUGAGGGAGGAAAUCCAGCCCAGGCUCUGCCCAGGUGGCCCCCAGCCUGUCAGUGGGAGCACAGAGCUCAGAGCCCAGCAGGAGAACAGGGACCUGGGCAGCUCACAGGCAGCAAGGCACCACUGGCACAGCAAGUCCAGAGGGAAAUCACACUUUUACGUCUGGCAGAGGGAAAAAUUAUAAUGCAAAACUGGUUGGAAACGGAAAUGUUAAUGAUAAAACGCAAGUGUCCACUUGGGGGUGGCAAAGCAUUUCAGCUGUGUCUUCAGGGAGCAGGAAUUGCCUUCUCUCUGCAGGCCUAUCGUGUAGCUCUUACCCUCUCCAUGGCUUGUUCGACAAGACUGCAGAUGGUAAAAUGGGUCUGAGAGAAAACAUGGUCUAAAAUUCCCCUUGUGCUACAGGAAAAGAUGACUCACCAUCUUCCAUGAACCUCCCAGGUCUCACCUCACCUCAGAGUCCCACAGAGAGAGACAAACAGAAGACUUUGGGGGAAACAAAGUAAGAAGCCAUGGAAAAGGAGUACAGCCCCUUCCACCUGUGAUGGGAAGUGUCAUCUGGAUCCCCAGUGACCUGGAAUGAGCCUUCAUGCAUACAGUGUAUCAUCUUUCAGGAACUAAUGUUCCUAUUCGUUGUGAUAACUCUGUGUACUCUGACUAUGAGAGUAACUCCCAGUCCCUUGACAACACACAUGGGAUGGUUUUCUGUGGCAGUGCGUGCCAAGCCUGAGCCCAGAGCAGUGGCUAAACCAAGCCCUGUGUCAGGGGGCACAGGGGAGACAUUUCUCUGAAACACAAUGAACAGGCUUUGAAACUUGGGACAGAGAGUCUUACAGAAUUCUUUGUCAUGUAAUGGAUUCCUCCUGACCUCCCUUGACACAAUUCUGUAGCAUCCUGUCCCUGCAGUCAGCAGAGCUCAUCAGCUCAGAUGUAAGUGUGCUGCCUUCAGGAUCUGUUUGCACAACUGGGAUGCAGGAAAGUUUUUUGGACCUAUGUUGUGCUUUAUGGCAAAAUCUGAAUUCAGUAGUUGUAGUAUCACUGCAAAAUUCCCGUUUUUAUUACCUUUGUAUUAGGUUUGCCCCAGUUCCCUGUGUUGUCAGUGUUGUCCAGGGUUUUUUCUGGAUCCAUGUAGAUCUCUGACUUUGCAAUCCACCUGGUACAGGCAGGUGUGAAAUCUGCUGAAGCACAACCACAAGGCUCCACUGGUGGAGACAACACAUAAGUAUCUGAAGCUGAAGCAAUGAUAAGAAGUUCUCACAAACUGCAGGAGAUGGGGUAUAGCAGGGACCUACCCAUUUGUACAUGCAAAGGUGGAUGGGCAAAAAUAAAACUAUCUGAUGUACAUUCCCUGGGCAGAUAUCCCCCACCAGCUGCAUUAAUCACUACCCCCCACCCAGAUCUUUACCUUGCUCAGAAAGCAAAGGUUUUGUUUUGCAUUUAUUUUACAAUUACUGGCUCCCCGAUUCUUCUGGCCCAGAAAUAGCUAUUACUGGUUUCUGAUGCCUAUCAGCCCAGCUCAGAGCUGCUCUCAUUCUUGCCUACUUGCUCAUGUUGACAAGAGAGGUUUGCAACAGCCAUACCUGGAGAAGGUCAUGAGAGAGAGAAGCGGGACUGGCUUACCCAAACCUAGAUAUAGAUAAGGCUUAUGCAGCAAGUUGCCUCAUUUCAAAGUAAGUAAACGCUGAUGUUUAGGUUGGUGCACAAAAGGCCAUUUGAUAAGACUUGGCUAAGCUGUGUCUCUCUCCUGUGCUGGUAACAUUGGGAGUGUGUCUCACUUUUUAAAAGCAGCUCUUCACUGGCACAGCUUGCAGUGAGCAAGCUGAGAUUCCCAUCCCUACUGUUAGCUCAAGUGUAAUAUAGUGCUUCUCAAACAUAUGUUAAAUACAAUCUUCUUAAUUUAAGCAAUGAGACACCUCUCCAAUCUUUUCUUGCUGAAAUCAGUCUUUUAGGAAGGUCUUUUCUCUUUUUGUUUUCUUAAAGCAAUUUUCUUUAACUUCUCUCUCACCUGGAUCAUCACAUGGAAAGUCACAGACCAGUGGAGAGCUGAGAACUGCUGACAGAUGUCCUGUGUGUGCCAGGGGCACUCAUGUAUUCAGCAGAGUCCAUGAGAUUGUGACCCUCAAUCACAAACAUGCUCUUCUGGGCAGAAAUCUUGCAAGUGGGAUGUUCAGGGGCCCAGUGCUUGCAGCAAGGAGAAAUCACACUGAGGAAAGCCAUCCUGAAGCGCUGGGACAACAGGUUGUAAAUGAUGGGGUUCGUGGCAGAGCUCAGAUAGAAGAAAACACCUGAGAGAGAGAGAGAUUAAUUUAUGUGUGAAACGAUCUCAGAAGAGGAAAAACUCUUCAUUGCUUAUACAGCUCCACCAAGCUUUGGUGCAAGGGUGGAGGCAGCAACAGCAGAGCUCUGCCUGCUGCCUUCCUGGCACAGGCAGAGGGAUGUCUCACCGAGAUUAGCUCAUACACUGCAGUUGCAGUGAAAAGAAAAUGGGAGAGAUUGUUAAUUGGAGCUCACUCUCUCCAGCUCUUCAGGAACCAGCUCUCUCUUGAGCUGUCCUGCCCUGCCUCCAGCACUGCCCUCAUCCCCACAGCAGGGUUUACACAGCUGGUGUCCCCAUCAGAGCUGUCAGAGGACAACUUCCAGCCAAGGGAAGCUAAUUUCUUACAACACACCAGGACAACUGCACAAGAUCAGAUUUGUCUGAGUUGCCUAAUGGCCACAUUCAGUGUUUUCCCAUGGCAGACUGAGAAUAUGAUUCCUUUUGGAAAAAGCCUUCAUUUUAUGGUUGGCAAGGCCAUAAACAUUUGGUUUCAUCACCCAUUCUGAGCAAUAGGUAAGUCUUUUGUCUUGCCAUUUGGUAAGGUUUCCCACUUGCCCCAGAGACCCUGUGGAGGAUGAUGCUUGUUCCUGUGUACUUGUUAAAAGCAGCUGAACAACAGCAGGCUUCACUUCUGAACAUUCCCAAGAAGGAAAAGCAGGUAAUGAUGCAUGGUAUACUUUUUUUUCCUUCUUUGUGAAUAUUCAGAUACUGUAUUGGACAAGACGUCCAGAUCUUGGAAGCUGCAGAAAAUUGCAUGUAGUUUUUAUUCAGGCACUAUUCUCAUCACUGCCCUCCAAAUCCUGAGAAGGUUUUCCAUGCAUGUCUCAUGUCACCUACAAAGUAAAUGAGGACAUAUUCCAAGUAAACCAUUCACAAAUACUUUUUUUUUUCCCAGUCCCUGUGCAAGUGGAAGAAGAAAGCUUUACCUGACACCACAUGAAUUAAGUUGAAUGUGUUAGCCAAAGGCUCAGUCCAUUCCACAACAAAGCUGAAGAAAAGUCGAUCUAUAUGGAAUGGAGCCCAGCAGAUAGCAAAAACUAUCACGAGGACAACUGGCAUGGAGAAAGGGGAGAAGAAAAACAGUCCCUGCUGCAAAGGUGUAAAUCUCUGAGAGGCUGGAAUCAAUCCACAGACUUCGGUGUUUCAGUGACAUUCGGAUGUGAGCAGCAGUGAUGAGGUUUGAAAUACUUUUGCCUUUUUGGGGGAAGACAGCUGGGCAAGAAAAAGGUGCAAGCACUCAAAAGACACAUACAGACACAAACACACAAGAAUGAGCCAAGGAAACACAGUACAGCUGGAGUAAGACUUACUCUUAGCCCCAUCAGAUAGUACAGCACACUUAUUACCCCCAUGGGCAGCGCAUAGAAGAGAAGAGAAGUAAUCUGGACAAUACAGUUGUAGAUCCACAAGGGCAUGACCACAGUGCAGGUAGCAGAGCCCGGGACCAGGGUGCCGUUGGGGAAAUGCUGCAGCAUGAUGCCAUGGGUGCCCGUGUUGGGGAGGGCAAAGAGGACAGAGAGGACCCAGAGCGCCAGGAUGGUCCUCAGGGCUCGCCUGCGGGUGCUCUUCAGCUUGGCACGGAAGGGGUGGAGGAUGGCGAUGUACCUCUCCACGCUGAGCGUGGUCACGCUGAGGAUGGAGGCAAAGCACACCGUCUCAAAGAGCGCCGUCUUCAGGUAGCAGCCGACGGGCCCGAACAGGAAGGGGUAGUUGCUCCACAUCUCGUAGACUUCCAGUGGCAUCCCGAAAAGCAGCACGAGCAGGUCCGAGACCGCCAGACUGAAGAGGUAAUAAUUGGUCGGGGUCUUCAUGUUCUGGUGCUUGAGGAUUACGAGGCAAACUAAGAAGUUCCCCACCACCCCAACAAUGAAGAUCAGGGUGUACACCAAAGCCAUGGGCAGGAACAGGUGGCUCCGUCUGGGCCCACAUAGGAAGGCUAAGUAAUCCUCAGUGCUGUUUAAGUACCCCCUGAAAUGUUCUUCCUGUAGAGCAAGGUGGUUUAACCAGGAGAUAUUACUGAUCCAGGCCAUUACUGAUCUGCUGAAAUGUUUCACAGCUGAGAUUUGGUCUUCUUUACGUUUCUCUGUGCUAGUUUGUUCACUUUUUGCAGAGAGAGGAGGGGUGGGUGGAGUUGUCUUGGCAGACCUGGAUGCACAAAGCCACUGAGGAUGUGAGUGAGUGUGUUUGCCUGGCUCUGGGUAAGGUUUUGCUGUUCAACAGCUGUUCCCCUGCACGGAGCCCCUCAGCCAGAAAGCCCCUCCUUUCACACAUAUUCAUUGGCUCGCUAAGUGCAUUAGAUUAUAGAGUAUGAACAGAGGUUCCAGCCACUUGCAUCAGCUCCCGUAGCUGAUGCGUUCACAGAAUCAGAAAUGUGGGAUUUAGAGAGCUGGGAGUGUGAAAUAUAGGAUGUAAUACCAGCUGAAGGUUGUUAGUAUUUGUCAGAGGGUGGGAAAACCAGACCAGAAAAACUCAAUCUAAAUAGCUUUUACAAAAUUAUAACGAUGCUACAUCCAGUUGUGAGCCACAAGCAAAACAAAAUAAAAAAAAAGUCUGGCAUGAUUUUAUUUUUCAAAUCUCUGCUGAUUUUUAUUUUGUGUUGUCUAUGGCAGCAAGUACUUGGAAACAGAGUUUGAUCAGCAGAAAGCCAGGCUGGUUUUUGUAGCCAUUCAUGUGGAAUUAGGUUACUAUAAUGCUUCAACCUUUUUUAAAAACACUGUGAUUAUUUUUUCUCCUGAACUCUGACAAAGGACUUUAAUUGCAAUUCUUACUGACAUCAAAAUAUUUUCUCACUUUCCUGGUAUGCUGGAAUCUGGUCCCAUAUUCUUAGAUAGCCUUGUUUGGGGAAUAUUUUUGUACACUGUAUUAUUCCAUAUUUAUUGCCUCUGGGCCGUGAACAUUUAUGAACAUUCAUCAAUGUAUUCUGCAAAAACACUUUCUGAGACCAAAAAAAAAGUAUAUCCUACAAGGAUCGUGGCUGUGUCAAAAUAUAUCAUUUAGCUCCUUAUGAAUGCUUGAUUCCUUACUGAAUUUCUCUAAAACAAAAAAGCUUCCAAGUCUGUAGAUGUAAUUUUCUGAGAUUCAGAAAAGUUCAGCUGUUUGAAGAGGUGAAAAAGAUGAGGGCUAGUUUAUAUUUUUUUUGGCAGGUUGGUGUGUGAUUUGUCUGCCCAGAACCUUUGACUAGCACUCACUUUUUAGUACCUGCCCAAUCCCCUCCUUGAAUCCACAUAAACUUUUUACAUCCCCGACAUCCUUUAGCAAGCUGCUCCUUGAAUCUUUUCUUGUGUAUUAUGUGUAUUUCUUUUCUCUGUCUGACCCUUUAGCUUAACCUCUCAAGAAAAAAAAGAGAUUGUUUCAAUAAUCACAGACUGCCUCCAAAAGCAGCAGCAGUAUGUGAAGAACCAAGGGCUGGUCCCAUCGAGGCAUAUUCAGUGUGGGGAGCCUGAGGACUACUAUGUAAUCAUUUAAAAUGCGAAAGGCAUGGAAGGUACCACAACAACUACACUAAAAGGCAGAAACAUGUCUCUUGUGAUGACUUUCAGACCUCCUGAGAUUAUCUCACACGUGAACUGUCUCCACCAGAAAGACCCUACUAAUUUAUUUUAGCAUUGCACAGAGGUAUUUUACUCAGCAGAUUGAAAGGUUUUACUGGAUUAGUGAGUAACAAACGUGCUCUUUUGACCUAUUGCCCCCUUCAUUAAGGGUUCAUUUUAUAGCUAUUCCCUGCAUUUUAACAAUGUUGAAUUUAAUCUCGAUCCACUGUUGAUGUGAGAGGUAGGAGCAGAGGAAUCAAUAGUAGGGUGCCUGUCUGACACUCAGAUUGAUUCUUUCAGAGCACAGCAGGAGAAAAGUAUUUGAGUAUUUGUGCAGGACUAAAUGUUUUCUGUCCCUCUGCUUAACUUUCAGUUUUGCUGGGUUUUGUUUGUUUGUUUGUU
Pipra filicauda (Wire-tailed manakin) is the source of this 9002-nucleotide long non-coding RNA. RefSeq lists it as uncharacterized. The transcript is spliced from 3 exons. The record is from RefSeq and is a predicted model, not a curated record. Lineage: Eukaryota; Metazoa; Chordata; Aves; Passeriformes; Pipridae.